Molecule: non-coding RNA, 20 nt
Filed under: Arabidopsis thaliana (thale cress)
Lineage: Eukaryota; Viridiplantae; Streptophyta; Magnoliopsida; Brassicales; Brassicaceae
Source: RNAcentral
UGUAAAUUUGUUUAGUUGUU